Molecule: long non-coding RNA, 9720 nt
Filed under: Phaseolus vulgaris (common bean)
Lineage: Eukaryota; Viridiplantae; Streptophyta; Magnoliopsida; Fabales; Fabaceae
Description: long non-coding RNA (PVUL_LNC002761)
Source: RNAcentral
ACUUUGGGUGUAAAUUAUUGUGGUUUUUUAAGAUAGAUGGAUAAGGUUUAACAACUUGCUGUUAAGUUAUAUUAAGAGGGAGGAUUUAAUUACAAAAGUUGAUUUAUGAUUAGCGAACUCGAAUACCAGUUUGACUAAAGCCCACUUACUUGCCAAACGGAUCAUAGUUGUCACUGAUUAGGAUGGCUUGCUGCUGAUGUCAAAUAAUCAUAAUAAACCAAUAACUCAUCCAUUCAAUCAUCACUCUAUUAUUCACUUCAAAUCUUUUUUUCAUAAACACAAUUCAUGAAAUAUUUUAAAAUUUAUAAAUAUUUAAUGUGCAUUCAAGAAGAGAUUUCCUUAAUUUAAUAUUACGAUCUAUCUAUUAAUAUCGAUGUGGAUGGGUUUCCAACAGCUUUAGAUAAAUCUUUUAUAAAUUGAAUAUAAUAUAUAUAAAAUAAUACUUUUAUAUGUUAUAAAGAAAAAUGAGGUAUAAAAGGAGGAAGACUGAUUAAAAGGAGGUAUAAAUUCAGAAUAAAAACGUUCAUUAAUUUGAAAGUGUAAAACGGUAACAUAAUGAAAUAAACACAAGGUUAAAUAGAUAUCAUACUGGUAAAAUAAGGUCGAAGUAACAUUGAAAACAUCAAGAAAGUAACUCUUGGAAAGCUUAGGGAAAGAGUUGAUAAGUAAUAAACAAAUAUUCUCCUAAAUAAGUCUUUUGGUAAACUCUCAAUUCUACUUCUAAAAUUUGAGUAUUUUUUUAAAGAACUUUUACGUUAAUGGUCAAAGAGAUUUCAUAACGAUUUAGAGUUUUUGAUAAGGUUUCGAACGUGAAAAAUAUUAAAACUCAUUUAAAAUAUUUUGAACUUAAAAGAUGAUUAUAAUGUAUUUGAUUUAAUUCACGUGUAAUUAAAUAUAAAAAAAUAAUAUAAAAUUAAAUGUUUUUUAUUUACAUAUUAUUACAUAAAAUUUAUUUUUUUAUUAAAACUUUAGAUAUUUUAAAUUGUUAUAGUAUACAAAUUAUUGAAAUUAUUUUAAAAAAAAAUUGAGGUGGCAAACUGUUUUGUGUAUAUUAUAAUUUUCACGUUGAUAAGUUAUUGCACAGUGCAUAAAAACUUAGAGACUAAAAUUAAUUUUAAAUUAUUAUUUUUAUAUAAAAAAUAUUAAAAAUAUAUUUGAUCUAAUAAUAUAAUUUUUGAAAUUGGCACAAUUAUUCUAUACAGUCCUUCGUUUAUUUUUGGUUCACAUGAAGGCCGUAGGCCCAAAUUAUGGAACAGAAACAGAUUGUACAGCUAAAAUCUCACGUUUGAUGUCUUAAAAAACAUCAAUUAUGCCACCAAAUUGACUGCACAUCACCACACCCUAAAUCAUCGACACUACAAUGAAAGAAAUUUAGUUUUCAACAACCUUAAUAACUGUUAGUUAAUUUCAUCCUUACAAAAUUUUUUGAGUGUCAAAAAAAUCAAAACAACAACUCAAGGACAAAGGUUGAAGUUGAAUUAAAUUUACAUAACAGUGGUGAUAAAAUUGAUCGUUAAUGCUAGCUUUAAGAACCUAAUUGAGUAUUGAUUAUAUUAAUUUAAGAACUAAAUUUCGUUUCUAAUGAUAUCAAAGACUAUUUUUUAUUGAUUUUUAAAUUUCAAGAACUAAAUUAGCACUUUAUUCAUUUUUAAAUUCAGGUCUCAUAAAAUUCAGGUCUCAACUGGUCUGGAUAAGAGCUUUGAGGGAGAAAAACAUAAUUUUUGUUUGGAAGAUUCGGAUUCAAAAUGAAACAAUAUGAUCUACAAAGUCUUUCCAAAUUCAUAAUUAGCUUAUAAAUGAUGUAAUCCAAUUUUUUUUUUCAGAUUUAUAAACUUUUCCAAAUUCCUAAUUAGCUUAUAGAUUAGGUAAUCAAAAUUAGCUUUUAAAUUACAUAAUUAGACUUCGAAUUAUAUAAUCCAAAAGUUUGUUUUUUUUUCAAAUGCAUUUAUGAAUUACUAAUCCUAAAAUACAAUUUUUUAAAAAUAUAUUUCAAAUUAUAUAAUUCAGAAGUCUAAAUUUAAUAGUAACUUUCAGAUUAUGUAAUCCGGACAUGCAUUUGAAAAAAAAAAAUUCAAAUUACAUAAUCCGAAAGAUACAAGAACAAACCGGACAUAUUUGGGAAGAAUCUUUUAUGAACUCACCUAUCUCACUGGCCCAAAAUAGUAAACAAUUUUAAAAAAUGGAAACAUUUUUAACCGUUUCUAACCUAUUACACUGGUUAAAGAAUUAAAAGGAGGCAUUUCUCGUUACAACACGGAUAAUCGCUCCCAUAUAACUAGUAAAACCAACAUCUUUCCAGUUAUCAACACGUUUUUCCAGUAAAAACUUUUUAUUCAACUACUGAUAGGUGCACGCGCAUGCGAAAAAUAUGAACUUUUUAUGAUCAACAAAAACUAUCUUAAAAAAAGAAUGUGUUCAUUACUAAAAAAAUUCAUCCAAAUGAUCACUUACCAGGCAAUGUCAGUAACUUCAACAAAAUCUCGAGAUUAAUAUCGUUCAUCUAAAAUUUCUGACAGCAAAAUUGAACCUUUUCCUUCCAUUCCAUCUACAUCUCCUCCCUUGUCAACAUCCUGGGCGUAUAAUGUCUUACAAACAUGUUUAAUAAGGAAAGUAGUAUUCAAAACACGCUACAAUGCGGCAGUUAGGUAGCUCGAAAAUCAAGAAAAAUACGUAAUUUUUGUAUUAGCAUCUCCCGAGUACCAAAAUGUGGCUUCCCAGCUGUGAUCCAGUCCUUCUCCAGAAGAUUUGCUUUAGCACCGGCCAACAUUUCAUCAUGGAAUGCAGAGACUAUCUGGUAGAUGGAAGUCUUGAGAACGUCAGCAAUAGCAUACGCUUUUGAAUUUACUGGGCCACUUCUUCUUUUACCAGCAGCAACAUCUACCCUUCCACUAUUCACAGUGGCCCAUUUGAUACCAGCAGGUCCCAACAACUGAUUUGGGGAUUGCAGGUUUGUUUUCUUUCCCAUGAAAUUUUCAACAGCAAGAAGGCAGGAUAGAAGUGUUGAAACCACGGCAGCAUUACUCCCGGAAAGCUGAGCGACCCCAUUCUUGUCCUCCUUACGUGAGCAGGCAGUCAGUGAGGCAACACUCCUUGAACACCAUGCAUAUAGCUGCAUUUAAGCAAACAAAUACUUUUUAAUAUGUUAUCCAAAAAUUCUGAAUAGAAGCCUGGGAGUGUGCUGCUUUGUUGCCCCACAACUAGAAGGCUUCUUGUCACAGAAAAGUUAAACAAGUGACCAUUUGAACCAUUGGUUAUUAAUUAAUAUCAAAUUUACAGGGUUGCAAUUCAUGUCAUGUCAAUGACCGACAUAAAUAUUUAGGAAGCCCAGAGGAAUCAUGAGUUGACUUUCCCCUCUGUAAGUCCAUCAACAUAGAGUUACAUAUAUUAUUGGAUUACAUGUAUAAAGUGUUAAAAAUAACUCCCCUGAAUUUAUUUUCUCUUUUACAUAUGAAGAGGGAAGGCAUAAACCACAUAAUAAUUGGUUGUGGGAGCAAUUUCACAUUUAAUACAUGUAAAAUACUGAAAAUCAAUAUAAUAUAAGGGUAUUAUAAUUAUCAUCAUGUUAAAACUGCAAGUGGAAUGGGCUCGUUUAAUGUGCACACCCAGUCCCAUUUUUAAGGCAGCAGUUUGAGUUUAAAACAAGAAGAUGAAACUUCUGGGUGUUUGAUAAUCAAUGUUACAACUUAAGAAGAAUUUCUAGAGUUUAGAGUCUUUAAAAUCAUGUUUUUUCUUUGAAUCUACAUGUUUCUUUUUAUAAUGAGGUACAUUUAUCAUCAUACUUCUUGCAAAAUUGCUUAUUUUGGCUCCACAACCUAAAAAACAAGUUUUUCCAAACAUAGUUCAUACCACAGAAAAAAAUGAACAUAAAACAGUGAGGCCUGAAAGACAUUGUAGAAAUGCUAAUGCUAAGCCAUGAAAAACCUUCUAGUAAAGUUCAAUAUUCAGUGUGAACACCAAUGCCCAAAGCUUCCAGUUAUACAGAGAGAAAAAAAGUUGGAUUUUAGCUUCACAUAAACUAUACAAAUGAUGAAGUUAUAUAUGUACCUGGAAGUUGUACAAUUCUUCCACGUUCUUAAAAUCGAACCGUGCCUCCGUUGGGGACAACAGCUGAUUUGAUAAUUGAGUAGCUUUGUCAACAGAACUUCCUGGGCCUUCACCUAAUUUAGUUGCAAGAUGUUCCAACGGCUUCAAGCACACAUCAACUACUCUUUUGUACGUUUCACUGGUUUCUUCAAAAAACCCCGCACGCCUCCAAGUGUCAACAUUGUUCUCACAAACCAUACACAGAUCAAGAUGUGCAAGAUACCUUAGAAGCGAUGUAGGAGUAGUCUCCUCCAAAGCUGAAAGGAGAUGCUCACUUGGAUUCGUUUCUGCUGCCGCUGAUCCUUUUGGAGGUGCAAAUAUGGACCUCUUAGUAUGCAAAACCUAUGUGGCAUAUUAAACCAAAACAGAAACUUCAGCAUUCGGUAACAAAAGGCUGGGGAAUAUAAAUGCUUGCAAAACACCUCAUCCAAUUCAAAAUCCCAACAUGUUGCAUAUGUCUGUAACUGGCAUACAGGUGACAUUAUACAGGUUUCAUUAUGGAUAGUUAAGAGAAAGCUACUCAAAGUUGUUUUAACACAUCCCUCACAUUAUACACAACAACGUAACCAGGACACACAGAACGAAAAUCCAAUGUACACGAUAGAGACCCCAGAUUCCAAAAGAUCACAUAUGCAGAUCAACGAAACAAGGUUGAACAAGUUCGACAACAUGGCAAGCAUACAAAUAAAACCUAAAACGGAAAAGUGCAUGAGCACCGGGAUCACUUUCUUCUGGGCAUAUCAACAAACAUGUAGGGAUCAUUAGUUUGAGAAAAACCUACCCAAUGCAAAUGAUGAGUCAACUCCCAAGAGAAGAAGAUAGCAAAAGUGGCAGCAAAAGUGGUUAACUGCUCGACGAAGAAUCCUGUGGUGGCGACGGAGUACUUAAACGGAUGCGGGAGAAGCUCCAACAAAACACCGGAGAUAACGAAAGCAAGAGCGGAAAGCUUGAAGGCUUGUUGAGCAGCGGAAGGAACACCCAUCUUGAAGCUGAAAAAGAGAGGACGCUGCAGCCGCAAGAAGCAAUAAAUCAGUGCGCAUAAAGAUUAUGAAUUUAUUAAUAAGAUGGAAGAGAGUGAGAGACCUGGAUGAUGGGGAAGUGGAGGAGCCAUCGGCGCUGGAAAAGGUAAUGCGAUGCGAAGAGGGAGCCUAGGAGGAAGCCCCGGAGGGCUAAUCGGGGUAAGGGGGAGGAGGGGUGGGCGGCGGCGGGGAGGGAGAGGGCGGCGGAGAAGGAGGCGGCGGUGGCGAAGAGGAGGGAGAGGGGGAGGCGGGGGCGGGGGUGGGGGGAGGAGAGGAGGGAGAGGGUGGGGGAGAAGAGGAGUUGGGAGGAGAGGAAAAGGAGGAAGGAGAAGAGAGGGUAGUGAGGUGAAGAGAAUGGGAGACAGAGAAAACAGAGGAAGACAAGAGAAGAUGAAAUGGAUUGCCAGAUCAUGAAACUCAUCAACCGCUUCUUCACCACCAACUCCAACCUUCCUCUGCUCCCAGACAUCAUUCACAAAUAACCACUUUUUCUUCUUUUUUCUUUUCUUUUCUUCUCUUCUUCAACAACAAUGCUUCACUUCCCCCUUUCUUCCCUUCUCUUCCCAGACACUAUUUCUUUCAAAGGAGGUAAGACUCAGUAGUUUGUUAGGUCAGUUUAAAUUUUUGAAUUUUUUUAACAUUUCUUCAAUACAAUCUAUAUUAUUAUUACAAAAGUUGGGUUAUAAUACGUUUCGGCUGCUCUGUCUUAAAUUAAAAUUAUUAUUUUUUAAAGUUUUAUCUCUAUAUUUAACUUAAGCAUAAUAUAUGAAAACUAGGAAAAUUGAUUUGUAGAAUAACUCAAAUUGAUUUGUUACAUUUAAAUUAGAAAAACCCUAAAAUGGUUAGGGUUUAUUUGAAUUAUGAAGAUCGCAGCAAAAGAACGUUCUUUUCAGUCACUCCCAACGUUUCCCAUUCCUUUUUUCUGACGAAAUGGCAAUCAUCAUCCCCAAACGCCUCUUCACCCUCCGCUCCGUCACCGCUUAUUCCCUCAACCCAUUCACGCGCCCACGAACCUCUCUUCCUCUCACGCGCCUCCUACUCCACGCGCGCCCAUCCUCCACCCAGCCAUCGAGAACCCCGUCGGAGAAACAAUUCGAGACGUGGGUCCAGGCCCUGAAACCGGGCUUCACCCCCUCCGACGUGGCCCAGGCACUGCAGGCCCAAUCUGACCCGGACCUGGCCCUCGAUAUCUUCCGCUGGACCGCGCAGCAGCGCAACUACAAGCACACCAGCCACACCUACUUCCUCAUGAUUAAACACCUAAUCUCCGGCCGCCGCUACAACCACGCCGAAACCCUAAUAGAGGAGGUCAUUGCCGGCGCCUGCCACGACGUCUCUGUCCCUCUCUACAACUCCAUCAUUCGAUUCUGCUGCGGUCGCAAAUUCCUCUUCAAUCGCGCCUUCGAUGUCUACAAGAAGAUGCUUAAUUCCAACGAUUGUAAACCUGAUCUCGAAACCUAUACCCUUUUGUUCAAUUCGCUGCUUCGGAGGUUCAAUAAGUUGCAUGUUUGUUAUGUGUAUCUGCACGCAGUUAGGUCUUUGACUAAACAAAUGAAGGCUUCUGGUGUUAUUCCUGAUACCUUUGUAUUGAACAUGAUCAUCAAGGCUUAUUCCAUGUGCUUGGAGGUGGAUGAGGCGAUUCGGGUUUUUCGCGAAAUGGGGUUGUAUGGCUGUGAGCCUAAUGCUUAUAGUUAUGGCUACAUUGCCAAGGGAUUGUGUGAGAAAGGGAGGGUGAGUCAGGGGUUGGGGUUUUAUAGGGAGAUGAGAGGGAAUGGUCUUGUGCCUAGUACCAGUACUUAUGUGAUAAUUGUGUGUAGUCUUGCGAUGGAGCGCAGGUUUGAGGAAGCCAUUGAGGUUGUGUUUGAUAUGUUGGGGCAGUCUAGGUCCCCUGAUCAUCUCACUUACAAGACUGUUUUGGAAGGGUUGUGUCGGGAGGGAAGGGUCGAUGAUGCUUUUGAACUGCUUGAUGAAUGCAAGAAGAGGGAUGCUUCCAUGGGUGAGAAGAUGUACAAGACUUUGUUGGAGGACUUGCAUUUUUCGUGCCGGGAGUAGGUUUUGUGCUAAUGCAUUUACUUGAAGUAGCAUAAGAUGCAUAUAACUCUGCUUUUGUUGGAGCGUAGCUUAGUCAAUCUCCUGCUCUUAUGAGACAACUGAUUUUCUUGAAUGAGUGCUGAUGCAGAUAAAUAGUUGCAUUUGCAUGGAAAAUUGCUCUCAACUUCCUUUGGACUAAUUUAGCUUGCAAUGUGAAUGGAGGGGGCACCUGAUUAGUUGUUAGUUCUAUAAACACUGAUAUUGAUGAUAAGGUGGCGCAAGCUUCUUUUAUGAUAAAAUGUUGCCUCUGAGCAUGCUGAAUAGACUAGACCACAGCAUUGUAAAUACUGACAGAUGAAUUUCCACCUCAUGGCUUUGUGACAUGCAGAAGUUGCUCGUGGAUAGUUUGCUGGAGUGGAUGAGUAUCUUAAGGUAUUGUGCAAAGAACCAAAGCUUCCCAAUAUUCAGCUGAUUGUUCUUUAUUGUUGGCUUCUCGCCCUUAGUUCAUCAUUUGUUUUCUCCAAGAAUUAAUCUGAAAUAGAUGUUAGCUAAAAGUUUUACAGUUGCUAGCAUCUGUUUGUAUUAGUUACGGAUAUUUAUCUUUUAGUCCUAAUUCUCCAUGGUUUGGAGCAUCCCUAUUGGUCUUGCUCGCCGCAUAAGGGGGGAAAUUACAUUAAUCUUCUGUGUUCUGAAUAAAGCAGAAUUAUUCCGCGUGUGUAACGAUGGUGAUCAUAUUUGCUGAUGCAAUUGUGUUACUCUUUGCAAUGUUUAUCUUUUGGCAUUAAGUUAUAUAUAUAGUGUGGCUUCCUAUAACUUAAUGUUGGAAACGUGCCUUAGAUAUUGUAAAGCAGUUUUAAUUUUUAUUUUGAACAAGUCAAUUAUUAAAUUGAUAAGAAUAUGUGUUAUUUUAAUUCUAAUUGGUAGUGGAUGAAUUGUUUUCCUUUUACCUUAAACAAAAACCAACCCUUAAUACACAUUAUAUCCUGUGCAACAAAUCUUUUCAUUCUUUAACAUGAAUGGCAAAUUACACUCACCUUAAGGUUGACUGAAAUUACAUUAUCUCUUUAGUUUUCUAUAUUAGUUUCAUCUUCUUGAAUUUAUAUAAUUGCAUAAAAAAAAUCAGGUAAGGUAUAUGUAUGAACGAGAAGGAUAUCUGACAUUAUUUUCUUGUAUAAAUUGAGAGACGUUAGUGUAGGGUAAGAAAAAGAAGCAGCAUAAAGGUUCAGCAUCGAGUGAAUUUUGGUUAAUCCUCAGAUUGAAUGUAAUUUGUCAAAACUCUUAACAACACACAUCCUUAUUCAUAGCAGUAUCUCCUCGUCAAUUGUCUUUUCCACUUCUUUAUUAAUUACAAACUAUACUCCUACUGAACUGGUUCCUUAAUUAUAGCAGUAUAACUGCCUUUACAGAAGCAGGUUCACAUGAAUCGAACCCGCAGUACAUAAUCGUUACAUAUCCUGGUACUGAUAUUUUUUCGAUGGAUAUUAUGUUAUAUCAAGAACUUUUUCUAGUUCUCACGUAUUAGAAAUUCUAAAUGUAAAUGUAGAAAAAAAAAAUAGUACAAACUCAUCACUAAGGUUUUGAAUUGAAAGUGGAUUUUAGGUUGAAAGUGGUACUCUAAUCCUUCAUAUGAAUUUGUUUUAUUGGUGUCAAAUAUCGUAAACGUAUCCCCUCAAAAAAAUCCCAUACAUCCUAUUACAACAAGCUCUAUUUAAAUACAAUAUAAAUAUUCAACAUUAUCACUUUGACUCGGUGAAAAGUCAUAUCAAUUCUCACUCUGUACCAAUAAAAAAAAUUAUGAAUUGCAUACUGAACACCAUAAGAUUGAUCCGCAAGGAUUACAAGUCGAACAAACAUCACAUAACACUACAUUGGAAAUAUUAUCACACCAUCCAACGAUUUCUUACACAAUCACAUUCACAACAGUUAACACUCAACAUCCUGGUUCCUAAGACGUAUUAUGAACAAUGAAUAAAAUAUCUAAAGGUAUCGCUACAAGACUACAACUAACACGUAAAAAGCAGUUGAAAUUCAGAUAAUUACAUCAAACAGGUGUUGUUCUCGAAACUGAAGACAAUGCAUCUUCAAACCGAUCAUCAUCUAUCUUCUCAGAGCUCAAGCUUGGUGGAAUGAAAGAUCUGAAAAUCAAUUCCAUGUUGGGAGGUUCCUUAAGUGGAUUAGCUGCAACCUCAAGUGCUGGAUGUUCGAAGGCAGGGUAGAAUUUCUUUGCGCAGACAAAACCAAAGAUCAAUGACAAAAAGGGCAGAGGAAGCACAAGUGGUGUAUAGUAGAAUUUCUGCGCCCCAAAGUACCCAAACAUGGUAAUUUGGUAUAGUAUCAGAGAUGCUAGUACACGGUUGUGUAUGUGAGGCCACAUUCUUCCAUAACUUUCAUAUGAUGGUACGUAGACUUUGAGUGCCUGUUGAUUAAUAAGUAUACACAAACUCGUAAAAAAAUAUUUACUAACAGGUCUGAUUUAAAAAUAGCUUGGUAAAAGGGAUCAUCACAAAAACCAAUGAAGUACUAAAUUGAGACUUAAGGAAAGGUUAGCCAUAAAAAAACAUUAAACUGGGUUCAUUAAACAAAAUUC